ACAUUAUAGUUGCAUUUUUCCCCCUCAUCAGAGCCUUUUCCUCUCAAUUACCAGUAUUACAACUGAUCUUCAAUUACUAAUAGAAUUACUGAUUUUCAGGGGUGCAGUGUGAUCAUCCACUGUCUCACAUAAUGCAUUAAUUCUCUGGCUGUAUUUGCAUUUUUAUUUAUUUUUAAAAAAGAUUUUAUUUAUUUAUUUAAUUAAGAGAGAGAGAGAUUGAGAGAGAGAGAGCAUGAGCAGGUGCGGGGGGAGAGGAAGAAGCAGAUUUCUCACCACCCCUCAACAAGGAAGCCCCAUGUAGCUGGAUUCCAGGACUCUGAGAUCAUGACCUGAACCUAAGGCAGACGCUUAACUGACUGAACCACCCAGGCGCCCCUAUAUUUGCAUUUUUAAAAUUCACUCCAGUAUAAUAAACACCUAACCUCCUCUUAUGAUAUGACCUCAGAUUUACUUCACUGUUUACAAAACUCUUGUCUGUAAGUAGUAUCCUUGUUGUCUUAACUGUUCUGUUCCAGACACCUCAUGUGAUAGUGGAUGAAUCCUGGCAGAGACCACCAUAGAUAUUAUGGAGAAAGAAUGUUUCCAGUCCUGGAACUGUCAAUACUUAUCUCUGAUACAAGAGAGAACAGGAAAAAAACUUUAAUAGAGGAAAAGGAACAAUGAGGAGUCAAUGUGACAUAUAGCUAGUGAAUGAUGAGCUGGCGUCCCUCAACUUCUCAUCUGAUGCUUUUUGAGUAUAUUUUACUUCAGCGCAUCUCUUCAGAAUAGACAGGUAUUGCGAUGAGACAUUUAACAGAUGUACAGGCAGCCCUAUAUUGCCUUCCCUAACCUAAAUUUAAUUUAUGGCAAGAAAAAUGGAUCAAGUUUGCAUGCUUUUCUUAUCUUUUAUAGGAGAAACGCACAGCUAAUAUAAUGUAUUUAUUUGAAAGGGGGACACCUGGGUGGCUCAGAGGUUGAGCAUCUGCCUUUGGCUCAGGGCAUGAUCCUGGGGUCCUGGGAUUGAGUCCCGCAUUGGGCUCCGAGCAUAGAGCGUGCUUCUCCCUCUUCCUGUGCCUCUGCCUCCCUCUCUGUGUCUCUCAUGAAUAAAUAUAUAAAAAUCUUAAAAAAAAAAAAGAAUAGAUUUUAAAGGAUGCUCAGUAACUUGGUACAAGGUGACAUGGUGAUAUUUUAAUAUACACUUUUUCCUGUGUUCUUUUCCAUCAUCAAGACUGUAGUUAAUGUGU
Molecule: long non-coding RNA, 1223 nt
Filed under: Canis lupus familiaris (dog)
Lineage: Eukaryota; Metazoa; Chordata; Mammalia; Carnivora; Canidae
Description: lncRNA (ENSCAFG00040000063.1)
Source: RNAcentral